AUUUGAUGGUGAGGGCACUUUAUUUGUAGGUCCUUGAACCUCUCCUAUGCUUCAAAGAAUGACUCACAAGAUUAUUAUUUAAAGGUUUGCAGUUGAGUUCUAAUUU
Amaranthus tricolor (Joseph's coat) is the source of this 106-nucleotide small nucleolar RNA. NCBI's taxonomy places the organism in Eukaryota, Viridiplantae, Streptophyta, Magnoliopsida, Caryophyllales, Amaranthaceae. The record is from RefSeq and is a predicted model, not a curated record.